AGCGCGCACGGUGGAUGCCUUGGCACUAGAAGCCGAUGAAGUACGUUACUAACGACGAUAUGCUUUGGGGAGCUGUAAGUAAGCUUUGAUCCAGAGAUUUCCGAAUGGGGAAACCCAGCAUGAGUUAUGUCAUGUUAUCGAUAUGUGAAUACAUAGCAUAUCAGAAGGCACACCCGGAGAACUGAAACAUCUUAGUACCCGGAGGAAGAGAAAGAAAAUUCGAUUCCCUUAGUAGCGGCGAGCGAAACGGGAAGAGCCCAAACCAACAAGCUUGCUUGUUGGGGUUGUAGGACACUCUAUACGGAGUUACAAAGGACGACAUUAGACGAAUCAUCUGGAAAGAUGAAUCAAAGAAGGUAAUAAUCCUGUAGUCGAAAAUGUUGUCUCUCUUGAGUGGAUCCUGAGUACGACGGAGCACGUGAAAUUCCGUCGGAAUCUGGGAGGACCAUCUCCUAAGGCUAAAUACUCUCUAGUGACCGAUAGUGAACCAGUACCGUGAGGGAAAGGUGAAAAGCACCCCGGAAGGGGAGUGAAAUAGAACCUGAAACCGUGUGCUUACAAGUAGUCAGAGCCCGUUAAUGGGUGAUGGCGUGCCUUUUGUAGAAUGAACCGGCGAGUUACGAUUUGAUGCAAGGUUAAGCAGUAAAUGUGGAGCCGUAGCGAAAGCGAGUCUGAAUAGGGCGUUUAGUAUUUGGUCGUAGACCCGAAACCAGGUGAUCUACCCUUGGUCAGGUUGAAGUUCAGGUAACACUGAAUGGAGGACCGAACCGACUUACGUUGAAAAGUGAGCGGAUGAACUGAGGGUAGCGGAGAAAUUCCAAUCGAACCUGGAGAUAGCUGGUUCUCUCCGAAAUAGCUUUAGGGCUAGCCUCAAGUGAUGAUUAUUGGAGGUAGAGCACUGUUUGGACGAGGGGCCCCUCUCGGGUUACCGAAUUCAGACAAACUCCGAAUGCCAAUUAAUUUAACUUGGGAGUCAGAACAUGGGUGAUAAGGUCCGUGUUCGAAAGGGAAACAGCCCAGACCACCAGCUAAGGUCCCAAAAUAUAUGUUAAGUGGAAAAGGAUGUGGCGUUGCCCAGACAACUAGGAUGUUGGCUUAGAAGCAGCCAUCAUUUAAAGAGUGCGUAAUAGCUCACUAGUCGAGUGACACUGCGCCGAAAAUGUACCGGGGCUAAACAUAUUACCGAAGCUGUGGAUUGUCCUUUGGACAAUGGUAGGAGAGCGUUCUAAGGGCGUUGAAGCAUGAUCGUAAGGACAUGUGGAGCGCUUAGAAGUGAGAAUGCCGGUGUGAGUAGCGAAAGACGGGUGAGAAUCCCGUCCACCGAUUGACUAAGGUUUCCAGAGGAAGGCUCGUCCGCUCUGGGUUAGUCGGGUCCUAAGCUGAGGCCGACAGGCGUAGGCGAUGGAUAACAGGUUGAUAUUCCUGUACCACCUAUAAUCGUUUUAAUCGAUGGGGGGACGCAGUAGGAUAGGCGAAGCGUGCGAUUGGAUUGCACGUCUAAGCAGUAAGGCUGAGUAUUAGGCAAAUCCGGUACUCGUUAAGGCUGAGCUGUGAUGGGGAGAAGACAUUGUGUCUUCGAGUCGUUGAUUUCACACUGCCGAGAAAAGCCUCUAGAUAGAAAAUAGGUGCCCGUACCGCAAACCGACACAGGUAGUCAAGAUGAGAAUUCUAAGGUGAGCGAGCGAACUCUCGUUAAGGAACUCGGCAAAAUGACCCCGUAACUUCGGGAGAAGGGGUGCUCUUUAGGGUUAACGCCCAGAAGAGCCGCAGUGAAUAGGCCCAAGCGACUGUUUAUCAAAAACACAGGUCUCUGCUAAACCGUAAGGUGAUGUAUAGGGGCUGACGCCUGCCCGGUGCUGGAAGGUUAAGAGGAGUGGUUAGCUUCUGCGAAGCUACGAAUCGAAGCCCCAGUAAACGGCGGCCGUAACUAUAACGGUCCUAAGGUAGCGAAAUUCCUUGUCGGGUAAGUUCCGACCCGCACGAAAGGCGUAACGAUUUGGGCACUGUCUCAACGAGAGACUCGGUGAAAUCAUAGUACCUGUGAAGAUGCAGGUUACCCGCGACAGGACGGAAAGACCCCGUGGAGCUUUACUGUAGCCUGAUAUUGAAAUUCGGCACAGCUUGUACAGGAUAGGUAGGAGCCUUUGAAACGUGAGCGCUAGCUUACGUGGAGGCGCUGGUGGGAUACUACCCUAGCUGUGUUGGCUUUCUAACCCGCACCACUUAUCGUGGUGGGAGACAGUGUCAGGCGGGCAGUUUGACUGGGGCGGUCGCCUCCUAAAAGGUAACGGAGGCGCUCAAAGGUUCCCUCAGAAUGGUUGGAAAUCAUUCAUAGAGUGUAAAGGCAUAAGGGAGCUUGACUGCGAGACCUACAAGUCGAGCAGGGUCGAAAGACGGACUUAGUGAUCCGGUGGUUCCGCAUGGAAGGGCCAUCGCUCAACGGAUAAAAGCUACCCCGGGGAUAACAGGCUUAUCUCCCCCAAGAGUUCACAUCGACGGGGAGGUUUGGCACCUCGAUGUCGGCUCAUCGCAUCCUGGGGCUGUAGUCGGUCCCAAGGGUUGGGCUGUUCGCCCAUUAAAGCGGUACGCGAGCUGGGUUCAGAACGUCGUGAGACAGUUCGGUCCCUAUCCGUCGUGGGCGUAGGAAAUUUGAGAGGAGCUGUCCUUAGUACGAGAGGACCGGGAUGGACAUACCUCUGGUGUACCAGUUGUCGUGCCAACGGCAUAGCUGGGUAGCUAUGUGUGGACGGGAUAAGUGCUGAAAGCAUCUAAGCAUGAAGCCCCCCUCAAGAUGAGAUUUCCCAACUUCGGUUAU
This 2815-nucleotide ribosomal RNA is filed under the name Staphylococcus aureus. Its description in RNAcentral is "bacterial LSU rRNA". It matches the Rfam family "Bacterial large subunit ribosomal RNA". The record is from RNAcentral. Lineage: Bacteria; Bacillati; Bacillota; Bacilli; Caryophanales; Staphylococcaceae.